UGUCUUUUUGAAAUUAAUAUAAAGUCUAAUCUGCCCACUGAUUUAAUAAUUGAAGGGCUGCAGUAUAUUGACUGUACAAAGGUAGCAUAAUCAUUAGUCAUUUAAUUGAUGACUUGUAUGAAAGAUUGGAUGAAAUAUAAACUGUCUCUUAGUUAAAUAUAGAAUUUAAUUUUUUAAUUAAAAAGUUAAAAUAAAUUAAAAAGACGAGAAGACCCUAUAGAGUUUUAUAAUUAAUUUAAUUAAGAUUAUUUAAAUAAAAAAAAAUUAAAAUUAUAUUAUUUAUUUUGUUGGGGUGACAAAAAAAUAUAUUUAACUUUUUUUAUUUUAAAUAACAUUUAUAAGUGAUUAAAUGAUCCAAUAAUAUUGAUUAUAAGAAAAAAUUACCUUAGGGAUAACAGCGUAAUUUUUUUUUUUAGUUCAAAUAAGAAAAAGAGUUUGCGACCUCGAUGUUGGAUUAAGAUAAAAUUUAAAUGCAGAAG
RNAcentral lists this ribosomal RNA (479 nucleotides) under Apamea maillardi. Its description in RNAcentral is "partial 16S large subunit ribosomal RNA". Lineage: Eukaryota; Metazoa; Arthropoda; Insecta; Lepidoptera; Noctuidae. The record is from RNAcentral.